RNAcentral lists this ribosomal RNA (484 nucleotides) under uncultured bacterium. Its description in RNAcentral is "bacterial SSU rRNA". It matches the Rfam family "Bacterial small subunit ribosomal RNA", at positions 29 to 503 of the family's 1533-position model. The record is from RNAcentral.
AUUGAACGCUGGCGGCAGGCCUAACACAUGCAAGUCGAGCGGAAACGAUCCUAGCUUGCUAGGAGGCGUCGAGCGGCGGACGGGUGAGUAACGCGUGAGAAUCUACCCAUGAGUGGGGGACAACCCGGGGAAACUCGGGCUAAUACCGCAUACGCCCUACGGGGUAAAGCAGGGGACCUUCGGGCCUUGCGCUGAUGGAUGAGCUCGCGUCGGAUUAGCUUGUUGGUGAGGUAAAGGCUCACCAAGGCGACGAUCCGUAGCUGGUCUGAGAGGAUGAUCAGCCACACCGGGACGUGAGACACGGCCCGGACUCCUACGGGAGGCAGCAGUGGGGAAUCUUGGACAAUGGGGGCAACCCUGAUCCAGCCAUGCCGCGUGUGUGAAGAAGGCCUUCGGGUUGUAAAGCACUUUCAGCAGGGAGGAAGGCUUACCCCUAAUACGGGUGAGUACUUGACGUUACCUGCAGAAGAAGCACCGCUAAUUU